GGGAGAAGUAGAUGAGUUGAAUGAGACUGUUCCCAUUAUAACAAAUGUCGAAAGUGAAUCAAUAGAAGAGGCUCCGACAAGUUCAUCUCAAUCUGAGGAUGUCAGGCGUGAGCUUGUGAUGCUGUCUUUGCCAGCAAUUGCUGGACAGGCCAUUGACCCUUUGGCACAGUUAAUGGAGACUGCUUAUAUUGGGCGCCUGGGUUCUGUGGAAUUAGCUUCAGCUGGUGUCUCAAUAUCAAUUUUUAACAUAAUAUCAAAGCUUUUUAAUAUUCCUCUACUUAGUGUUGCUACAUCUUUUGUCGCUGAAGACAUCGCCAAGAAUGCAACCAAAGUUAACAUGUCAGAGGGGGCAAAAGGCACUGAUGGUAGAUUUCCCACUGGGGUAGCAGAAAGGCAUCAGUUUUCUUCUGUGUCUACCGCAUUAUUUUUAGCUGUUGGCAUCGGCAUAAUUGAAGCUUUGGCUUUGGCGUUGGGAUCUGAACUACUUCUUGGUUUAAUGGGCAUAUCAUCUACUUCACCUAUGAGAGUUCCAGCAAAACAAUUUCUUGCUGUGCGUGCUCUUGGUGCUCCUGCAUUUGUAGUUUCUUUGGCCCUUCAAGGCAUAUUCCGUGGAUUUAAGGAUACAAAGACUCCAGUCUUCUGUUUAGGCAUUGGGAACUUUGCAGCUAUAUUUUUGUUUCCCUUACUUAUGUACUAUUUCGGCUUGGGUGUGUCCGGAGCUGCCAUAUCCACUGUCAUUUCACAAUACCUAGUGGCCUUCUCUAUGAUGUGGUAUUUAAAUCAGAGAGUAAUGAUAUUACCUCCACGAUUUGAAGAGCUGCAAUUUGGUGGCUAUUUAAAAUCUGGUGGAUUUCUCAUUGGAAGAACUCUUUCUGUCCUUUUCACAAUGACACUUGCUA
RNAcentral lists this unclassified non-coding RNA (899 nucleotides) under Hevea brasiliensis (rubber tree). Lineage: Eukaryota; Viridiplantae; Streptophyta; Magnoliopsida; Malpighiales; Euphorbiaceae. The record is from RNAcentral.